RNAcentral lists this ribosomal RNA (318 nucleotides) under Triticum aestivum (bread wheat). RNAcentral's name for it is "partial small subunit ribosomal RNA". Lineage: Eukaryota; Viridiplantae; Streptophyta; Magnoliopsida; Poales; Poaceae. The record is from RNAcentral.
AUGUUCGUGAGCAUGGAUGUAAUCUUCAGGGAACACAUACCAUUUUAUGGAGAACCUGUAGAUUUAACCGAUGUAUUUCCUGAUCUGUUUCCUAGUGAUGUUUCAGACCCGGUCAACAAGGCAGGGGGAGAAAAAGGAGAAGAGAGCAACUCUACACCAUCAAAGCAAGUGGUGGUUGGAGCAAUACCACUUAAGGACGGGAAUGAUGAUAGAGAUGUUGAUCUUAGAGGAGGACAAGAGCAGAUGCAAGGGGAGCAACAAUAUACAUCAGCUGAGGCUAUACGGUGGUCAAGGCCGAAUGAAGAACAAAAUCUAUAG